Macaca mulatta (Rhesus monkey) is the source of this 3949-nucleotide non-coding RNA. NCBI's taxonomy places the organism in Eukaryota, Metazoa, Chordata, Mammalia, Primates, Cercopithecidae. The record is from RefSeq and is a predicted model, not a curated record.
GCAUAUGAGCACAAGGGCAGGACCCAACCCAUCCUCAGACUCCAUGUUCACAGGUCUCUUUCCUGAGAUCAGUCUCAGAACCAAUUCUGUAUCAGUUUGGACCAAGCAAACUAACAGGCAAACCAGCAGUUGGCCGUGAUUCAGGAGAGGAGUCACUGUACAGUAAGCAAGGGAAGUAGAGUAUAAAGAAUUAUUAAACUGUGAUUCAGCGAGUACUGUAAAGAUGUAAAGAAAGCUCUAACCAGUAUCUUAGGGCUGGAUAAACAAACUGUGGUACAGGGAAAAAAAAAAACGUGAUAUAUAUGAUCUUGCAUAUGGUAUGUACAGAAAGAACAGGGCCCCCUUUCCCCAAGAAUGGGAUUUAGACACUGUUGUUGAAGUGUGGUUGCAGCUUAUUUACUUGAUGGCACAGGAUUUUGCUGGGCUGCAUGGCCAGCACUGGUUGACUGUCCCAGGGCAGCACAAAAUAGCCUUCUGAGCUUGCCUGCUCACUGACAGGACAGUACACAGCUUCUGGUGCACGGUGUUCAUGUGGGGAGGCCCAAGGCAAAGUGGUCUCUAGGCUUGACCCAAGGCAGCAAGGUUGCCAAGGGACGACACACUCUGGGUGCAUGGCUGGGUGCAGUGCCACUGGGUAUCUGCAGUGCUAGAGGAUGUGCAAAAACAAGAAAAGGCAGAACAUAGCACACAGGAGUACCAAGAAGAGCCCCCUUUCUCUUGCAAUGUUUCUCUAGCGCCCUCUGCUGACAAUGUUUAACAUUUUGCUCACUGUAAAAGGGAAAUCCAGGCCAUUAACAGGGAAAAGGCACUCUUAGGGCAAAUCCACAGCCAUGAGGCAAUAAAUUGAUAACCGGUACAUGCCCCAAAGUAGAAACCAUACAAAUGCCCAACAGCAGGUGGUACAUCUUUACAAUGGUAUAUUACUCAAAAUAAAAAGGAAUGAACUACUAUAUGCGUAACAACACAGAUGCAUCUCAAAAACAUUUUGCUGAGUAUAAGAAGCCAGGACCCAAAUAGUACAUCCUGUGUCAUCCUAUUUAUAUGAAAAACUUUAACAAGCAAACCAGCAUUUGACUGUUACUCAGAUGAGGCAUCACUGCAAAAGGGCAUGAGAGACUUUCUGGAGUGAUGGAAGUGUUCUAUAUUUGAUUUUACAGUGGUGGUUACUUGAGUUAUGUUCAUUUUUCAAAUCUUAUAGAGCUCUACACUAAAUGAGUGCAUAUUAUUUAUAUAAGUUAUGCUUUAAUAAAGUUAAUGUUUGAAUGUUAAUGGAAAACUAUGGCCUUUCAAUAAAAGCAGGAUCAUUGAGAAUUCAAACCCUUCAACAUUGCAGGUUUGGGUUACCACUGUGUUAAGUAGAAUCUCAACCAGCUGAAGUACUAGCCAAUAGCAAAGAGAAUGUAGGAGAGGGUAGUGAAGGAAGAAAAUCAAAACUAUUGACCAUAGCUUCAAGACUAGUUGCAUAAAUGAAAACUAUAAAAUAAAGCAUCAUUUUAUGGUGUGUGCAAAGCAAGCAUUUUCCUUCCUUUUUUCUUAUUAUUUAUUAAGUAGUUUUGGUAAUAAUCUUCAUUACUUUUGGGGCCAUAGAAUGUUCAGGUGGGAUUUUAAGUGAAUCAGAAAAGGAAUUAAUACCCAGACAUCGUUAUGGUGACUAAUAUGACUCUGUGUUUCCCCUUUGGGGGAUGAGAAUGACAGCAACUCCCCCACCAAGUAUGGCUGCAUCAUACUGGAAGAAGUAUGAUGUUCUGUUAUUUUUGUUGUAUACAAUUUUGCAUAUAGGUAGUAAGGUAUGUAGCAAUGCUGAGCUGCUAAAGAAGUAGACUACAUGAGCUAUUUUUGUUGUAACCUAGCCCAUAUCCAUUUUUUCCCUUUUCCUCUACUACUGGAACUGGGAGUCCAAAAUCUAUAUUUCCUAGAUUGACAGCUAGAAUCAUCAGGUUCUAACAAUAAAAGGCAUGAGCAGGAGAUCAGAACUGAAGAAGACAUAUACUUCCUGCUCGUGGCUCAAAUACCAGGUAGUUGCUUAGUGGCUGUGGGAAGGGCCCUCUGAACUCCUGUGGCCCAUCCCAGCAUCUGCAGCAUAGGAGUGGGGAGCAGCUUCUGGAUUCCUGGAUAUCACGCCUUCCUUUUGGCUCUUCCAGCACUUUCAACUCAUUUGUAACCAAUUCCCCACAUAAAUUCCUCUCUGUUUAAAUAUCUAAUGUGGUCUCUGUAAUAAUAAAAAGCUACAGUAUCAAAAAUUGUGGUUUGGUAAAGAGGGCAGGUGGAAAACUAUGUUCAACUUCCUUAUCUCCCAGAAUCCAACUAAAAUAAAGGUGUAAAUAUUUACAAAACUUAUCAACCCAAAUAGCAAAAGGAACAAGAGGCAAAAAUAUCAACAGAUGAAAGUUCAAUCCAUUUACUGCAAAUUAAAUGUGGAUAGAAAUCUGCCAGUGUUUGAAACGAGAGAGAGCCACAGUCCAGACACAAUGGUUAUAAGUAGGUGCUUGUCUUAGUCGGCUCAGGCUGGCAUAAUACAAUACCAUAGACUGGGUAGCUCCAACAACAGAAGUUAAUUCCUCACAGUUCAGGAGGCUGGAAGUCUAAGAUCAAGGUGCCAGCCCAUUUGCUUUCUGGAGAGGACUCUCUUCCUGGUUUAUAGACAGUUGCCUUCUUGCUGUGUCCUCACAAGGUAGACAGACAGUAAUUUUUCCAGCAUUUCCUUUUAUAAGGACACUAAUCAUAUUGGAUCAGGGUCCCACCCUUAUGAUAUCACUUACUUCCUUACUCCAAAUACAGUCACAUUUGGAGUUAGGGCUUCAGCAUACGAAUGUGGAGUUGGAGGAGACACUAUUCAACUAUUCAGUCCAUAGCAGUGGAUCACAUAAAAUAUACCCCGUAAUUCCGGCUUCUUGAAGUUCUUAGAUUCCUUCUAAUGUAGAUUAUGCCAGGGAGGUCUUCGCAUCUCAAUUUUAUUGACUGUAGUUCACUGUUGGACCCAGGUUUUAGCUGGCCAGGCAAAUAAAUGUUAGAGCCACCCCCCAUUGAUGCAGCUAGGCAUUUAAUUCAGAAUCUCAGGUACUGGCAUAAUACUGGUAGAAUUUUCCCAAUUUAACAUUAUAUUCCAUCCUAAUUGAACUAUCAUAUUUAGAAUCCUUUCUCACAUGUAUCAUUCUGUUGUUGCUGAUAUUAAUUGGCCAAGCUGUUCUGUUCUUUUUAUGGAUAAGCUAUGUCUAUCUGGGUCAGACUGAUCACUUAUCCACACUGGGUUCUGACUCUAGUUAUGAAUCCAGAAGCAAAGAGGGUGGUGGGGCGGGUGUUGAGGAUAAGAAGCAUCACCCUCAGGUGGGGUUAGUACGAGGCCUUCAGGCAAAGGAAGGAUAAUCUUCUCUGGCCAGGUUAGGUCAAGUAAGUGUAAAGUACUUAGCAAAAUGCCAGACAAAUAGUAAACAUUACAUAAGUCUUUAUACUCUGUUUACAGUUGUUACUAUUAGCUGAGUCAGUCCUGGUGAGCAAGGACUUGGAAAUUUCCCAGUCUGUCCUCCCAUCCAGCCUAGCAUGGGCACAGAUGAAGGAGGAGCUGUGAGGUCCUCAAGGCCGAGGAAGGAGCCCUGAGGAGUCAGAUGCAGCAACGAAGUCCAAGCCUGCUAUGCAUCAGAAUCACCUUAGGAGAUUAAAGUAGAUUCGGACUUCUACCUCAGCCCUCUAUAUCAGAAUCAACAGCUCUGGAGUCUGGAAGUUGAAGAUCAAGGCCCAGCUGCUUGGGUUCCUGUGGGCUAGACAGAAAAGGGCACUGCAUUCGAAGUCAGAAGACCAACGCCACAGUCUCGGACCAUAACCCAGCUCUGUCACUAACCAGCCACCUGGCCUUGGAUGUCAGUUCCCCGAGCCUUGCCUAUAAAGUGGAUGUUAACCUGCCCCAUCUAGCCUUCAGAAAAGAAUUAAAUGAUUAUGUGUGUCAUCUAUAAAA